UUCGCAAUGCCCGAAAGGGUGACGAAGCGACGCCGCGUGGGUGAGGAAGGCCUUCGGGUUGUAAAGCCCUGUCAGGAGUUAAGAAAUGCAGGUGCGCUAAUAUCGUACCUGUUUGACAAAGGCUCCAAAGGAAGCCACGACUAACUCUGUGCCAGCAGCCGCGGUAAUACAGAGGUGGCAAGCGUUGUUCGGAAUUAUUGGGCGUAAAGAGCACGUAGGUGGAUUUGUAAGCCAGAUGUGAAAGCCUUCUGUUCAACGGGAGAAUUGCAUCUGAAACUACAAACCUUGAGUAUAGGAGGGGAGAAUGGAACUUCUGGUGGAGCGGUGAAAUGCGUAGAUAUCAGAAGGAACGCCGGCGGCGAAAGCGAUUCUCUGGCCUAUUACUGACACUCAGUGUGCGAAAGCUAGGGGAGCAAACGGGAUUAGAUACCCCGGUAGUCCUAGCCGUAAACGAUGGGCACUAAGUAGAGGGGUUUU
Molecule: ribosomal RNA, 477 nt
Filed under: Candidatus Scalindua brodae
Lineage: Bacteria; Pseudomonadati; Planctomycetota; Candidatus Brocadiia; Candidatus Brocadiales; Candidatus Scalinduaceae
Also listed under: 1 other name
Description: bacterial SSU rRNA
Rfam family: Bacterial small subunit ribosomal RNA
Source: RNAcentral